CGACGAGUUUGAUCCUGGCUCAGAUUGAACGCUGGCGGCAUGCCUUACACAUGCAAGUCGAACGGCAGCACGGGUGCUUGCACCUGGUGCGAGUGGCGGAACGGGUGAGUAACUAUAUCGGAACGUACCUUAUCGUGGGGGAUAACGCAGCGAAAGCUGCGCUAAUACCGCAUACGCCCUGAGGGGGAAAGCGGGGGACCGUAAGGCCUCGCGCGAUUAGAGCGGCCGAUAUCUGAUUAGCUUGUUGGUGGGGUAAAAGCCCACCAAGGCGACGAUCAGUAGCUGGUCUGAGAGGACGAUCAGCCACACUGGGGACUGAGACACGGCCCAGACUCCUACGGGGAGGCAGCAGUGGGGAAUUUUGGACAAGUGGGGGCAACCCUGAUCCCAGCAAUGCCGCGU
Molecule: ribosomal RNA, 402 nt
Filed under: uncultured Polynucleobacter sp.
Lineage: Bacteria; Pseudomonadati; Pseudomonadota; Betaproteobacteria; Burkholderiales; Burkholderiaceae
Description: bacterial SSU rRNA
Rfam family: Bacterial small subunit ribosomal RNA
Source: RNAcentral